This 253-nucleotide ribosomal RNA is filed under the name uncultured bacterium. RNAcentral describes it as "partial 16S ribosomal RNA". It matches the Rfam family "Bacterial small subunit ribosomal RNA", at positions 524 to 776 of the family's 1533-position model. The record is from RNAcentral.
GACAGAGGUGCCGAGCGUUAGGCGGAAUCACUGGGCUUAAAGCGUGUGUAGGCGGACUUCUAAGUGCUUUGUGAAAUCCCCCGGCUCAACCGGGGAACGGCUUGGCAUACUGGGAGUCUUGAGCCAUCUAGGGGCAACCGGAACAAACGGUGGAGCGGUGAAAUGCGUAGAUAUCGUUUGGAACGCCAAUGGUGAAAACAGGUUGCUGGGGAUGUGCUGACGCUGAGACACGAAAGCCAGGGGAGCGAACGGG